This 337-nucleotide unclassified non-coding RNA is filed under the name soil metagenome. RNAcentral describes it as "partial contains 5.8S ribosomal RNA, internal transcribed spacer 2, and large subunit ribosomal RNA". The stretch from base 1 to 120 matches the Rfam family "5.8S ribosomal RNA", at positions 35 to 154 of the family's 154-position model. The record is from RNAcentral.
GAUGAAGAACGCAGCGAAAUGCGAUAAGUAAUGUGAAUUGCAGAAUUCAGUGAAUCAUCGAAUCUUUGAACGCACAUUGCGCCCGCCAGUAUUCUGGCGGGCAUGCCUGUUCGAGCGUCAUUUCAACCAUCAAGCCCCCGGGCUUGUGUUGGGGACCUGCGGCUGCCGCAGGCCCUGAAAAGCAGUGGCGGGCUCGCUGUCACACCGAGCGUAGUAGAUUUUAUCUCGCUCUGGGCGUGCUGCGGGUUCCGGCCGUUAAACCACCCUUUUAACCCAAGGUUGACCUCGGAUCAGGUAGGAAGACCCGCUGAACCUAAGCAUAUCAAUAAGCGGAGGA